CUUAGACAGAAUCUGGUUUCUUCAGCUCGACACGUUGAGCAGGUGGGUCGCGUUUGCAGCACCAGGUGAAAGAUUGACGUUGAUGCUCUUAUAACUCAGGUUCCUGUGAAGCGUAGAGAUGAGGCAAAUCCGUGCCGGGAUUAUCUUCCACUUUCUCACCUCGCACAGGUGUGGAGAGCUGAUAUGGCCCAAAAACCCACAUGCUCCCGAUGCACCAUGGGAAGAAGCGGGACAGCUGUGAGAGGGAAGCCACAGGUUUGCACAGACGAUCAGACCAUUUCCAUUUCAUACGAAUGGGUGAAGAAAAAAAUGAAUCGCUUUAAAAUAUUACUCUGAAAAAGUCCUGCCUGAACUCUAAAAAAUAAAAAUUUGUAAAUAAAUGUGAACAUUUUUAAAAAUCCAAUGUUCAAGGACAUCGUAAAGUAUUAGAAAUUGGAUGAUUCAAAUUAAUUGUACGCCUCUAAACGCACAUAAAACAGGAUACAGGCA
Molecule: long non-coding RNA, 489 nt
Organism: Carassius gibelio (silver crucian carp)
Lineage: Eukaryota; Metazoa; Chordata; Actinopteri; Cypriniformes; Cyprinidae
Exons: 2
Source: RefSeq, a predicted model, not a curated record